Molecule: ribosomal RNA, 314 nt
Filed under: Spio sp. GF-20107_18305
Lineage: Eukaryota; Metazoa; Annelida; Polychaeta; Spionida; Spionidae
Description: partial large subunit ribosomal RNA
Rfam family: Bacterial large subunit ribosomal RNA
Source: RNAcentral
AUAAUAAUUUGUCUCCUAAUUAGAGACUGGAAUGAAUGGAAUCACGAGAGUUUUUCUGUUUCUUUUUUAUAAAUAUAAACUGACCUCUAAGUGAAGAGACUUAGAUUUUAUAAAAAGACAAAAAGACCCUAUUGAGCUUGAUUUUAUAAUAUGUUUUCAUAUUAAAGAUUUUGUUGGGGCAACAAGAGAAUAUCUUUAUCUUCUCUUUAUUAAUACAGAUCCGUCUUACGAUCAAAAAAUAAAGCUACCAUAGGGAUAACAGGCUAAUUCCUUUUGAGAGACCACAUUGACAAAGGAGAUUGGCACCUCGAUGU